UGCUUAACACAUGCAAGUCGAGCGAAUGAAGUUUCCUUCGGGAAACGGAUUAGCGGCGGACGGGUGAGUAACACGUGGGUAACCUGCCUCAUAGAGUGGAAUAGCCUUCCGAAAGGAAGAUUAAUACCGCAUAACGUUGAAAGAUGGCAUCAUCAUUCAACCCAAGGAGCAAUCCGCUAUGAGAUGGACCCGCGGCGCAUUAGCUAGUUGGUGGGGUAACGGCCUACCAAGGCGACGAUGCGUAGCCGACCUGAGAGGGUGAUCGGCCACAUUGGGACUGAGACACGGCCCAGACUCCUACGGGAGGCAGCAGUGGGGAAUAUUGCACAAUGGGGGAAACCCUGAUGCAGCAACGCCGCGUGAGUGAUGAAGGUUUUCGGAUCGUAAAGCUCUGUCUUUGGGGAAGAUAAUGACGGUACCCAAGGAGGAAGCCACGGCUAACUACGUGCCAGCAGCCGCGGUAAUACGUAGGUGGCGAGCGUUAUCCGGAUUUACUGGGCGUAAAGGGAGCGUAGGCGGAUGAUUAAGUGGGAUGUGACAUACCCGGGCUCAACUUGGGUGCUGCAUUCCAAACUGGUUAUCUAGAGUGCAGGAGAGGAGAGUGGAAUUCCUAGUGUAGCGGUGAAAUGCGUAGAGAUUAGGAAGAACAGCCAGUGGCGAAGGCGACU
This 668-nucleotide ribosomal RNA is filed under the name uncultured Clostridium sp. RNAcentral describes it as "bacterial SSU rRNA". It matches the Rfam family "Bacterial small subunit ribosomal RNA", at positions 45 to 726 of the family's 1533-position model. The record is from RNAcentral. Lineage: Bacteria; Bacillati; Bacillota; Clostridia; Eubacteriales; Clostridiaceae.